Molecule: ribosomal RNA, 352 nt
Filed under: uncultured bacterium
Lineage: Bacteria
Description: bacterial SSU rRNA
Rfam family: Bacterial small subunit ribosomal RNA
Source: RNAcentral
AGAGUUUGAUCAUGGCUCAGGAUGAACGCUAGCUACAGGCUUAACACAUGCAAGUCGAGGGGAAACGACAUCGAAAGCUUGCUUUUGAUGGGCGUCGACCGGCGCACGGGUGAGUAACGCGUAUCCAACCUGCCCACCACUUGGGGAUAACCUUGCGAAAGUAAGACUAAUACCCAAUGACGUCUCUAGAAGAUAUCUGAAAGAGAUUAAAGAUUUAUCGGUGAUGGAUGGGGAUGCGUCUGAUUAGCUUGGUUGGCGGGGUAACGGCCACAAGGCGACGAUCAGUAGGGGUUCUGAGAGGAAGGUCCCCCCANAUUGGAACUGAGACACGGUCCAAACUCCUACGGGAGCA